UGAGUAACCUGCCCUUAACUCUGGGAUAAGCCUGGGAAACUGGGUCUAAUACCGGAUAUGACUCCUCAUCGCAUGGUGGGGGGUGGAAAGCUUUAUUGUGGUUUUGGAUGGACUCGCGGCCUAUCAGCUUGUUGGUGAGGUAAUGGCUCACCAAGGCGACGACGGGUAGCCGGCCUGAGAGGGUGACCGGCCACACUGGGACUGAGACACGGCCCAGACUCCUACGGAGGCAG
RNAcentral lists this ribosomal RNA (233 nucleotides) under uncultured bacterium. RNAcentral describes it as "partial 16S ribosomal RNA". It matches the Rfam family "Bacterial small subunit ribosomal RNA", at positions 118 to 351 of the family's 1533-position model. The record is from RNAcentral.